AUGGCAGGGAGGGGGUGCUGUUCUGAGGGCCCCCGCCGGCCCCCCUCGUCGGCUGCAGCCUUUGGGAUGAUCGUCUCCUCUCUGCAGGCUCGCUGGCUCCUGGGGGCCACGGGGAAAAGCAGAGUGGCAAGCCCAAAGGGCAGUGGGUGGCCCCUGGGGGACGGUGUUCAGAAGGCCUCUGCUGACUGUGCAUCUGUCCCCCCGAAGGUGAGCGGUCCGAGGGGAGGAGCAGCCUGCUGGGUCAGCGAGGGCCACUGUCGGGCUCCAAGGGCGCGGCGGGGGGAGACGGAGGCCAACCACAUCAUCGCGGGGCCGAAGGGACAGACACGGAGCCACCGAAGGAAACACGACAGGCAGGAGAGAGUAAGUGAGAGAAACACAAGGGGAGACGGGAACAGAGAUGCCCGGAGAGGAGAGACCGAGAGACAGAGGGGCCCGGGUCUGGCUGCGGGUGGACGGCUUCUCCCUGCCUGACCCCUUGCACACCUUGCCCCCCCGCCCCCAGGGCAUUCCUCGCAGAGGGGGGCAAGUUGGACACUGAGUGCAACAGGGGAUGCGGGGAUGCGGGAGGAAGGAGGGAAGGACACGCGACUACAUGUGACUCUGAGCUCCGGGACACAUCCCGUCACCCCAUCUGACAUGUGUUUUCUAACAGCCUGAGGAGCCGGACACCUUCAGCGUGCCCCCGCCAGCACCGCGAAAGGAGGCUCCCCCUGCAAACAUUGGGUGGCAGGUAGAGGUGGGUGAAGCAGAAAUAGAAUAUCAGGCUUACAGUUGUGCCGGGUGUCCCUUCUCGGGUGAGGUUCUGGAAGCCUCACCUCUUCCCUGGGAGGUUAAUUGUGUGGGGACAGAAAUCUCCUUUCAGCCAAAAAAAAAAGGGGGGGGGAUGUAUUAUUUCAUCUCCCAGGUGGCCUUCAGGCUCAGCUCGAUCCAGAUGUGCAGACGAUGUUUCUAGCACCUGGGCGUCUCUCGGUCUCUUUGUUCUGUUUUCUUAUGCACCGGCUCUGUUCUCAGGCGGCUCCGUCGGCUCCCUCAGAAGCAGAUCCUGAGACAAGAAUUUGAAAUGAGAUUAGUGAUGUUGGCAGUGAUUUCAGAAAUCCCUGGGAGGGGAGUGGGGUGUGUGUGUAUGUGUCAGACACAGGAAAGGGAGGGCAACUUCAAGGAAGCACAGUCAGCAUGGGGGCAGCUGGAGCUCAGUCCCACUGGGGUCCUCAAGGAGGUGGUGAGGGACACGCACCCCAAAGCCAUUUCAUCUGAUCGCCUGAGGAGCGCGAGAGAUGGAGUGUUGGUCCACGGGGUCCCACAGGUCGUGGGUCCGGGGCCGCUCCCAGGGGUGCUCACUGGCUGGCUCACGUGGGCAGAGCAGGUUCCAGCAGCUAGAGGAGCCCUCGAGGGGGUCGGGGGGUGGGGGAGGUACACGCUGCCGACAGGUUGAUCGUGGACCUCUGGUCUCCAGAACUUGGAAAAAAAUAAAUUUCGGAUGUUCUCAGCCGCCCAGCUCGCGGUGCUCUGCUGCGCAGCCCUAGGAAACCAAGACGCCUCGUUAUCAGCUGCCGUCUUUGGAGAACCUUUCUCUGCCUUUUCCCCCAUAAUCGUCCGUCAUUCCUCUACUUACCAAACAUCCCCUAAAUAUCCACGCUCCCAUCGUCUUCCCUUAAGGCCGUGGUGAGAAUCACAACAUAAAACCCCAAGUCUCUCACCACAAAGGGCUGGGACUUGAAAAAUGCAAAGACACAGAUGUAGGAUUCCAGCGGGGCCCAGGCCCGUCCCUUAGGGAAAUGAGCAGUGGCUUGAACAAGACGACAGCCGCCAGCACCAGUGACUUCUGGGAAUGAUGCCCCUGUGGGUGGGGGGACAAGCACCUUCAGUCCCCUUCGCUUGCUCACUCGGGCUGCGGUGUCCCCUCUGAGCCUGUCUCUGCUCCCCGGACUCUCCGUCCUCCCCUCCGCAGCUUCCCGGCCUCCUGGUCCCUCUCCAGUCUGCCCUCCAGCCGGAACCGUCUCUGGUCAGAAGCACUAAU
RNAcentral lists this long non-coding RNA (2020 nucleotides) under Canis lupus familiaris (dog). RNAcentral's name for it is "lncRNA (ENSCAFG00040004396.1)". Lineage: Eukaryota; Metazoa; Chordata; Mammalia; Carnivora; Canidae. The record is from RNAcentral.